AUGGGGGCAAACUUUCCCCUUGCUAUUCUCAUAGUAGAGAUCUCAUGAGAUCUAGUUGAUUGCAAGUAUGUAGCACUUCCCCUUUCACCCUCUCUUCUUCCCGCUGCAGCCAUAUAGGACAUGCUGACUUCCCCUUUGUCUUCUGCCAUGAUUCGGCCACUGAUCGAGUCACUCCAUCCAAGUCAGAAGCACCGCCAAACGCACCUCGAACUUUUGGACUCCGCUUCAUUUUCUACUCUACUGUGACUAUUUCAAUAACUUCAUAUCUUCAUUUUAUGGUGGGGGGGAGGUGUCUGGAAUGUUGGAAUUGCUUAUAAGCCAUUUUAUUACCCUCUAUUAUGACUUUCCGAACUCCUCCAAAGUCCUGUGAGCUCACUGAAAUAUCUUGGUAUGCCCAAUGCCUUUCAUCAUGUGAUACCUAGAGCACUCAAAUAAACAUUUUUGAAAUAAUUUGAUAUAGGAAUGGCCUAUAAGCUCUGCAGCCAAGGAUAGGAUCACCACCCAUGAAAACCAGCUCAGUCAGGGAUGCUUGCAGUUUUGUUUUCUGAGAGACUCAUGCAAAUGCCUACUUUAAGGAACAUAGAUAUUUUUAUGAGCACAUGCUUCCAU
RNAcentral lists this long non-coding RNA (609 nucleotides) under Homo sapiens (human). RNAcentral describes it as "HSALNT0131022". Lineage: Eukaryota; Metazoa; Chordata; Mammalia; Primates; Hominidae. The record is from RNAcentral.